This 446-nucleotide long non-coding RNA is filed under the name Lactuca sativa (garden lettuce). Its description in RNAcentral is "long non-coding RNA (LSAT_LNC005193)". Lineage: Eukaryota; Viridiplantae; Streptophyta; Magnoliopsida; Asterales; Asteraceae. The record is from RNAcentral.
UGAUGACGUUUUGUUGUUAUAGAAUGAGCAUCAUGCAUGCUUUCAUGUUAUUGAUUCAUAGUAGUUAUAAGUGUUGUAGUUACAAGGCGCCAAAAUUUUUAGUUGUGACAGUUAUUUCUAUGAAUUUUAGGGCGUUAUCAUACUAAAAAUAAUUUGANAGGGGUUAUCAUACUAAAAAUAAUUUGAAGAUAUAUUCUUUAAAUAAAAGGCAAUAAUUUGCAAUACUUUCACAUUUUAUGGAAAAAAACGACUAACGAUAAAAAAAUAGCAACAUACUUUGGAGAAGGAAUCUCAAAACAUGUUACUUAUAGAAUUUUUCAAAGUAGCUUUCUAUUUUUAAAGAAUUUUAAAUUUGGAAAUUUUGGUUACAUGGUUUUAUAUAUUUUUAUCUAAUAUAUUCUUGAUUUUAAUAUUUUCCUCAAUAUCAACUUACCUAGUUUUGUAGU